Long non-coding RNA from Mauremys reevesii (Reeves's turtle), 458 nucleotides. RefSeq lists it as uncharacterized. NCBI's taxonomy places the organism in Eukaryota, Metazoa, Chordata, Testudines, Geoemydidae. The transcript has 3 exons. The record is from RefSeq and is a predicted model, not a curated record.
CACGAUGGAUCCAUCUCUGGAUGCGCCGAAGUCUGGCCACGUCUGCUUAGGAUUUCACAAACAGAGAACAGACCCUGAGUUAAAGCUGGGAGAAUAUGUUGAGGUCUCUAAGAAGCAUAUAGUCUUUGGCGAAAUCUGCAUUUGGAGAGGACAUUGCACUUGUACAGCUUGUACUGACAGGCAUGUAAGACACUAACUAUGGAUCACUACAUCUUGAACACAGAGGGCCAGAUUCUCCACUCCAGUGGCAUGAAGAGGCCAGAAAGCACAGUGCAGUUCCUGGCAGGGGAGAAUCCCUGAGUGGCAUUGAGCUAGCGUAGCCCUCUUCUAUGCUGCCUUCCCCCAGCCCCCAGUGUAGGGGCUAUGGUGAGGAGGAAGGGAUUGGCUGGAGUGCAACUGUACUCCAGUGAUUCCCUAAGUAGGGCACUGGCCUGUUGAGGCCACAGCCAGCUGCCAAA